Molecule: ribosomal RNA, 305 nt
Filed under: uncultured fungus
Lineage: Eukaryota; Fungi
Also listed under: 1 other name
Description: SSU rRNA
Rfam family: Eukaryotic small subunit ribosomal RNA
Source: RNAcentral
AAAGAUUAAGCCAUGCAUGUCUAAGUAUAAGCAACUAUACUGUGAAACUGCGAAUGGCUCAUUACACCAGUUAUCGUUUAUUUGAUAGUACCUUUACCUGGAUAACCGUGGUAAUUCUAGAGCUAAUACAUGCUAAAAACCCCGACUUUGAAGGGGUGUAUUUAUUAGAUAAAAAACCAAUGCCCUUUGGGCUCCUUGGUGAUUCAUAAUAACUUAACGAAUCGCAUGGCCUUGCGCCGGCGAUGGUUCAUUCAAAUUUCUGCCCUAUCAACUUUCGAUGGUAGGAUAGUGGCCUACCAUGGUCU